This 219-nucleotide ribosomal RNA is filed under the name uncultured bacterium. RNAcentral describes it as "partial 16S ribosomal RNA". It matches the Rfam family "Bacterial small subunit ribosomal RNA", at positions 240 to 460 of the family's 1533-position model. The record is from RNAcentral.
AUUAGCUAGUUGGCGAGGUAAUGGCCUCCAAGUCGNGAUCUAUAGCUGGUCUGAGAGGAUGAUCAGCCACACUGGGACUGAGACACGGCCCAGACUCCUACGGGAGGCAGCAGUGGGGAAUAUUGGACAAUGGGCGAAAGCCUGAUCCAGCAAUGCCGNGUGAGUGAUGAAGGUUUUAGGGUUGUAAAGCUGUUUUACCAGGCAUGAUAAUGCCCGCAC